RNAcentral lists this ribosomal RNA (253 nucleotides) under uncultured bacterium. Its description in RNAcentral is "partial 16S ribosomal RNA". It matches the Rfam family "Bacterial small subunit ribosomal RNA", at positions 524 to 776 of the family's 1533-position model. The record is from RNAcentral.
UACGGAGGGGGCUAGCGUUGUUCGGAAUUACUGGGCGUAAAGGGCGCGUAGGCGGCCCGCCAAGUCCGGCGUGAAAGUCCUGGGCUCAACCCGGGGACGGCGCUGGAGACUGGCGGGCUGGAGUCCGGGAGAGGGUGGCGGAAUUCCCAGUGUAGAGGUGAAAUUCGUAGAUAUUGGGAAGAACACCGGUGGCGAAGGCGGCCACCUGGCCCGGGACUGACGCUGAGGCGCGAAAGCGUGGGGAGCAAACAGG